Molecule: ribosomal RNA, 462 nt
Filed under: uncultured bacterium
Lineage: Bacteria
Description: partial 16S ribosomal RNA
Rfam family: Bacterial small subunit ribosomal RNA
Source: RNAcentral
AACCAACGCUGGCGGCGUGCCUAAUACAUGCAAGUCGAACGGGGAAAGCUUUCGGGUGAGUACUAGUGGCGCACGGGUGAGGAACGCGUGGAUAAUCUGCCUUAGAGUGGGGGAUAACUAGUCGAAAGAUUAGCUAAUACCGCAUAAGACCACGAGAGCUGCGGCUUUUGAGGUCAAAGGUUUUUCGCUCUAAGAUGAGUCCGCGUAAGAUUAGCUAGUUGGUGAGGUAACGGCUCACCAAGGCGACGAUCUUUAACUGGUCUGAGAGGAUGAUCAGUCACACUGGAACUGAGACACGGUCCAGACUCCUACGGGAGGCAGCAGUAGGGAAUAUUGCACAAUGGAGGAAACUCUGAUGCAGCGACGCCGCGUGAGUGAUGAAGGCCUUCGGGGCGUAAAGCUCUGUCGCAGGGGAAUAACACAAUGAAGGUACCCUGUAAGAAAGGAUCGGCUAACUUCGUG